UGCGCAGGCGGCCGUGUGUGUGAGGCGUGAAAGCCCGGAGCUCAACUCCGGAAUGGCACCUCAAACUACACGGCUAGAGCAUUGGAGAGGGUAGCAGAAUUCACGGUGUAGCAGUGAAAUGCGUAGAUAUCGUGAGGAAUACCAGAGGCGAAGGCGGCUACCUGGACAAUUGCUGAUGCUCAGGCACGAAAGCGUGGGGAGCAAAAGGGAUUAGAUACCCCUGUAGUCCACGCCCUAAACGGUGCGCACUAGGUCUUGGAGGAUUCGACCCCUUCAGGGCCCAAGCUAACGCGUUAAGUGCGCCGCCUGAGGACUACGGCCGCAAGGCUAAA
This 332-nucleotide ribosomal RNA is filed under the name uncultured bacterium. RNAcentral describes it as "bacterial SSU rRNA". It matches the Rfam family "Bacterial small subunit ribosomal RNA", at positions 568 to 898 of the family's 1533-position model. The record is from RNAcentral.